GACGAACCGUACGAACGUUAUUCGGAAUCACUGGGCUUAAAGAGUUCGUAGGCGGCCGUGCAGGUGAGAUGUGAAAUCCCUCGUCUCAACCGAGGAAUUGCGUUUCAAACCGCAUGGCUUGAGGAAGAUAGGGGUGAGCGGAACUGAUGGUGGAGCGGUGAAAUGCGUUGAUAUCAUCAGGAACACCAGAGGCGAAGGCGGCUCACUGGGUCUUUUCUGACGCUGAGGAACGAAAGCUAGGGGAGCAAACGGG
RNAcentral lists this non-coding RNA (253 nucleotides) under uncultured Pasteuria sp. RNAcentral's name for it is "partial 16S ribosomal RNA". It matches the Rfam family "Bacterial small subunit ribosomal RNA", at positions 524 to 776 of the family's 1533-position model. The record is from RNAcentral. Lineage: Bacteria; Bacillati; Bacillota; Bacilli; Caryophanales; Pasteuriaceae. RNAcentral also lists the same sequence under 1 other name.